GACCAACAUGGUGGUGGUGUGUAUGAUUGUGUGUGUGUGUGUGUGUGUGCGUGCGUGCACGCGCGCAUGCAUGCAAGCGCGCACACACUCA
Molecule: microRNA precursor, 91 nt
Filed under: Loxodonta africana (African savanna elephant)
Lineage: Eukaryota; Metazoa; Chordata; Mammalia; Proboscidea; Elephantidae
Description: miRNA (ENSLAFG00000024881.1)
Source: RNAcentral